CCCUUAGAUGUUCUGGGCCGCACGCGCGCUACACUGAUUCAUGCAACAAGUUUUGUCCUUGGCUGAUAGGCCUGGGUAAUCUUUGAACGUGAAUCGUGAUGGGGAUAGAUGAUUGCAAUUAUUCAUCUUCAACGAGGAAUUCCUAGUAAACGCAAGUCAUCAGCUUGCAUUGAUUACGUCCCUGCCCUUUGUACACACCGCCCGUCGCACCUACCGAUUGAAUGGUCCGGUGAAGCCUCCGGAUUGGCGCGCACCUCGGUGCCGCCGAGAAGUUGGCUAAACCUUACCAUUUAGAGGAAGGUGAAGUCGUAACA
This 314-nucleotide ribosomal RNA is filed under the name uncultured eukaryote. RNAcentral describes it as "partial 18S ribosomal RNA". It matches the Rfam family "Eukaryotic small subunit ribosomal RNA", at positions 1470 to 1796 of the family's 1831-position model. The record is from RNAcentral.